This 487-nucleotide ribosomal RNA is filed under the name uncultured Pseudomonadota bacterium. RNAcentral describes it as "bacterial SSU rRNA". It matches the Rfam family "Bacterial small subunit ribosomal RNA", at positions 40 to 504 of the family's 1533-position model. The record is from RNAcentral. Lineage: Bacteria; Pseudomonadati; Pseudomonadota.
CGGUAGGCUUAACACAUGCAAGUCGAGCGGUAACAGACAUUUUGAUUUUGCUUGCAAAAUCUCGUGCUGACGAGCGGCGAACGGGUGAGUAACGCGUAGGAAUCUACCUAGUAGAAGGGGAUAGCCCGAGGAAACUCGGAUUAAUACCGUAUACGUCCUUAGGGAGAAAGAGGGCUUAGCUUUGAUGCUCUCGCUAUUAGAUGAGCCUGCGUAAGAUUAGCUUGUUGGUGAGGUAAAGGCUCACCAAGGCGACGAUCUUUAGCUGGUCUGAGAGGACGAUCAGCCACAUUGGGACUGAGACACGGCCCAGACUCCUACGGGAGGCAGCAGUGGGGAAUAUUGGACAAUGGGCGCAAGCCUGAUCCAGCCAUACCGCGUGUGUGAAGAAGGCCUUCGGGUUGUAAAGCACUUUAAGUAAGGAAGAAAAGAGUAUUGUUAAUACCAAUACUCCGUGACAUUACUUACAGAAUAAGGACCGGCUAAUUCC